GAUGAACGCUGGCGGCGUGCCUAAUACAUGCAAGUCGAGCGAAUGGAUUAAGAGCUUGCUCUUAUGAAGUUAGCGGCGGACGGGUGAGUAACACGUGGGUAACCUGCCCAUAAGACUGGGAUAACUCCGGGAAACCGGGGCUAAUACCGGAUAACAUUUUGAACCGCAUGGUUCGAAAUUGAACGGCGGCUUCGGCUGUCACUUAUGGAUGAACCCGCGUCGCAUUAGCUAGUUGGUGAGGUAACGGCUCACCAAGGCAACGAUGCGUAGCCGACCUGAGAGGGUGAUCGGCCACACUGGGACUGAGACACGGCCCAGACUCCUACGGGAGGCAGCGGUAGGGAAUCUUCCGCAAUGGACGAAAGUCUGACGGAGCAACGCCGCGUGAGUGAUGAAGGCUUUCGGGUCGUAAAACUCUGUUGUUAGGGAAGAACAAGUGCUAGUUGAAUAAGCUGGCACCUUGACGGUACCUAACCAGAAAGCCACGGCUAACUACGUGCCAGCAGCCGCGGUAA
This 515-nucleotide ribosomal RNA is filed under the name uncultured bacterium. Its description in RNAcentral is "partial 16S ribosomal RNA". It matches the Rfam family "Bacterial small subunit ribosomal RNA", at positions 28 to 523 of the family's 1533-position model. The record is from RNAcentral.